This is a non-coding RNA of Odobenus rosmarus divergens (Pacific walrus), 73 nucleotides long. Lineage: Eukaryota; Metazoa; Chordata; Mammalia; Carnivora; Odobenidae. The record is from the annotation of a RefSeq genome assembly.
ACCUGGCUGGCUCAGUUGGUAGAGCAUGCGACUCUUGAUCUUGGGAUCAUGGGUUCAAGCCCCAUGUUGGGUG